GACGUAGGGCGCAAGCGUUGUCCGGAUUUAUUGGGCGUAAAGAGCUCGUAGGCGGCCUGUUACGUCGUCCGUGAAAACCUGGGGCUUAACUCUGGGCGUGCGGUCGAUACGGGCAGGCUAGAGGCAGGUAGGGGAGAUCGGAAUUCCUGGUGUAGCGGUGAAAUGCGCAGAUAUCAGGAGGAACACCGGUGGCGAAGGCGGAUCUCUGGGCCUGUUCUGACGCUGAGGAGCGAAAGCGUGGGGAGCGAACAGG
This 253-nucleotide ribosomal RNA is filed under the name uncultured bacterium. RNAcentral describes it as "partial 16S ribosomal RNA". It matches the Rfam family "Bacterial small subunit ribosomal RNA", at positions 524 to 776 of the family's 1533-position model. The record is from RNAcentral.